This 495-nucleotide ribosomal RNA is filed under the name uncultured bacterium. Its description in RNAcentral is "partial 16S ribosomal RNA". It matches the Rfam family "Bacterial small subunit ribosomal RNA", at positions 28 to 507 of the family's 1533-position model. The record is from RNAcentral.
GACGAACGCUGGCGGCGUGCCUAAUACAUGCAAGUAGAACGCUGAAGGAGGAGCUUGCUUCUCUGGAUGAGUUGCGAACGGGUGAGUAACGCGUAGGUAACCUGCCUGGUAGCGGGGGAUAACUAUUGGAAACGAUAGCUAAUACCGCAUAAUAGUAGAUGUCGCAUGACAUUUGCUUAAAAGGUGCAAUUGCAUCACUACCAGAUGGACCUGCGUUGUAUUAGCUAGUUGGUGAGGUAACGGCUCACCAAGGCAACGAUACAUAGCCGACCUGAGAGGGUGAUCGGCCACACUGGGACUGAGACACGGCCCAGACUCCUACGGGAGGCAGCAGUAGGGAAUCUUCGGCAAUGGACGGAAGUCUGACCGAGCAACGCCGCGUGAGUGAAGAAGGUUUUCGGAUCGUAAAGCUCUGUUGUAAGAGAAGAACGAGUGUGAGAGUGGAAAGUUCACACUGUGACGGUAUCUUAACAGAAAGGGACGGCUAACUACGUG